RNAcentral lists this long non-coding RNA (771 nucleotides) under Fragaria vesca (wild strawberry). RNAcentral's name for it is "long non-coding RNA (FVES_LNC005445)". The record is from RNAcentral. Lineage: Eukaryota; Viridiplantae; Streptophyta; Magnoliopsida; Rosales; Rosaceae.
UAGACUAGUACUCUUCAGAGUGGUUCUUUUUCUUGCUACACUCUUAUACAUCACUCGGCUACCUGGUUCUUUUAGCUGCGGUGGUGCCAAUAUUCUGAUAAAGGGUCAGCCAUGCAUGGCGGAGGUGGUCCGGGCGGAGGUGGAGGUCCAGGAGGAGGAGGGCCUGGUGGAUGGGGUGGAGGUCCUGGAGGGGGUGGCCCUGGUGGAUGGGGAGGAGGACCCGGAGGGCCAGGAGGACCAGGAGGGCCAGGAGGACCAGGAGGACCAUGGGGUCCUGGCCCGGGAGGCCCGGGAGGACCUUGGGGUCCGGGGCCUGGCGGACCUCCUUGGGGUCCGGGAUUUGGCGGACCUUGGUGGGGAGGACCUGGUGGCUUCUUUGGUGGGUUUGGCAAUGGCCUAUGUGACAUGAUAUCUUCUUGGUAAGUAUGAGUUUUGAUAUCUUGGCAUUUCUUGUGACUUGUUUCUGUUAGCUUGCAACAUGUCAAGUAUAUUAGACUGAAAACUACAUUGUGUUGUGAUUGGCAAAAUGGCAGCUUCUACUGCUUGUGCUGCUGCUGUUUGCUAGAUGAAUGCUUUGGUGGACCUCGUGGUGGAUUUGGACCUCCUGGAGGACCCGGAGGACCUCCUCCCCCAUUCUGAUAGUUUGUUUACUACUACUACAUUGAGGUUUCUGCAUCUGUAUUUUAAUGUAGCACUUAAUAAUUGAGAGCUCUACAUAUUAAUAGUCAUGCAUGUUACAAAGCUCUCUGUUGGACGCAGCUUAUUAUCACC